RNAcentral lists this ribosomal RNA (254 nucleotides) under uncultured bacterium. RNAcentral's name for it is "partial 16S ribosomal RNA". It matches the Rfam family "Bacterial small subunit ribosomal RNA", at positions 1066 to 1320 of the family's 1533-position model. The record is from RNAcentral.
CGUGAGAUGUUGGGUUAAGUCCCGCAACGAGCGCAACCCUUGCCCUUAGUUGCCAGCAUUUCGGAUGGGAACUCUAAGGGGACCGCCGGUGACAAACCGGAGGAAGGUGGGGAUGACGUCAAGUCAUCAUGGCCCUUAUGACCAGGGCUACACACGUGCUACAAUGGGCGGUACAGAGGGUUGCCAAGCCGUGAGGUGGAGCCAAUCCCUGAAAGCCGUUCGUAGUCCGGAUCGGAGUCUGCAACUCGACUCCG